CCAGAUACCGCAGUCAAUACUUCAAAGGAAAAUGAUGCGAAUUUGUCGAACGGCUGCAAUGGAACGGAAAAUGUUUCUGAGAAAAAGGCAGUUUGAAUAGAAUCCCCGUUAAUAGUACCACCUAUCCUAAGAACAGCUACUACCACAAACACUACCACUUUUACUACUACUACCAACCACUACUCUCUACCUACCAUCACAACCUACCUACUUCCACCAAAUGUGGGAUCCUACGAGAGCCAAGCACGCCAAACAGUGAUAAAGAUGGCCAAAAAGUGUCAAAUCUACAAAAGAAAAAACAAUAACAAAAAAUAACUUUAAAAGUGACAAAGUUGAUUCAGAAUAACAAUAUUACAAAAUAACAUCGACAAUUAUUGAUUAUGUAGUAGUACUCGUAUGUAGUUCUGUAAGAUAAAAUAUUUCUUUUUGUAAAAAUAAUUUUAAAACAUGUUUUUAUCCAGUAAUAAUAAAAACAACUAACACGAUUUUAAA
Molecule: long non-coding RNA, 492 nt
Organism: Stomoxys calcitrans (stable fly)
Lineage: Eukaryota; Metazoa; Arthropoda; Insecta; Diptera; Muscidae
Exons: 2
Source: RefSeq, a predicted model, not a curated record